This 71-nucleotide transfer RNA is filed under the name Camelus bactrianus (Bactrian camel). It matches the Rfam family "tRNA". From Rfam's summary of the family: Transfer RNA (tRNA) molecules are approximately 80 nucleotides in length. Their secondary structure includes four short double-helical elements and three loops (D, anti-codon, and T loops). The record is from Rfam by way of RNAcentral. RNAcentral also lists the same sequence under 2 other names. Lineage: Eukaryota; Metazoa; Chordata; Mammalia; Artiodactyla; Camelidae.
AGGGUGUAGCUCAGGGGUAGAGCCCAUGCUUGGCAUGCACGAGAUCCUGGGUUCAAUCCCCAGUGCUUCUG